CCAUACCACUCUGAAUGCACCUGAUCUCAUCUGAUCUCAGAAGUUAAGUAGGGUUGGGCCUGGUUAGUGCUUGGAUGGGAUGGGACAUGAUGAGGAACUGGAGG
This 104-nucleotide ribosomal RNA is filed under the name Notamacropus eugenii (tammar wallaby). Lineage: Eukaryota; Metazoa; Chordata; Mammalia; Diprotodontia; Macropodidae. The record is from RNAcentral.